UACGAAGGGUGCUAGCGUUGUUCGGAAUCACUGGGCGUAAAGCGCGCGUAGGCGGCUUUUCAAGUCAGGGGUGAAAUCCUUGGGCUCAACCCAAGAAUUGCCUUUGAAACUGUAAAGCUAGAGUGUCGGAGGGGAUAGCGGAAUUGCUAAUGUAGAGGUGAAAUUCGUAGAUAUUAGCAGGAACACCGGUGGCGAAGGCGGCUAUCUGGACGACAACUGACGCUGAGGCGCGAAAGCGUGGGGAGCAAACAGG
RNAcentral lists this ribosomal RNA (253 nucleotides) under uncultured bacterium. Its description in RNAcentral is "partial 16S ribosomal RNA". It matches the Rfam family "Bacterial small subunit ribosomal RNA", at positions 524 to 776 of the family's 1533-position model. The record is from RNAcentral.